Long non-coding RNA from Corvus hawaiiensis (hawaiian crow), 147 nucleotides. RefSeq lists it as uncharacterized. The transcript is spliced from 2 exons. The record is from RefSeq and is a predicted model, not a curated record. Lineage: Eukaryota; Metazoa; Chordata; Aves; Passeriformes; Corvidae.
GAAGGACCCCAACACUAUGGGGAAGGAUCCCAAAGUGAUGGGGAACAACCCCAAAACAAUGGGGAACAACCCCAAAACGAUGGGGAACUCCCCAACAGUGUCAAGGAAUGACCCCAAAACGAUGGGGAACAACCCCAAAGUGAUGGG